Molecule: ribosomal RNA, 996 nt
Filed under: Micrococcaceae bacterium
Lineage: Bacteria; Bacillati; Actinomycetota; Actinomycetes; Micrococcales; Micrococcaceae
Description: bacterial SSU rRNA
Rfam family: Bacterial small subunit ribosomal RNA
Source: RNAcentral
CCAGCAGCCGCGGUAAUACGUAGGGCGCAAGCGUUAUCCGGUAAUUAUUGGGCGUAAAGAGCUCGUAGGCGGUUUGUCGCGUCUGCCGUGAAAGUCCGGGGCUCAACUCCGGAUCUGCGGUGGGUACGGGCAGACUAGAGUGAUGUAGGGGAGACUGGAAUUCCUGGUGUAGCGGUGAAAUGCGCAGAUAUCAGGAGGAACACCGAUGGCGAAGGCAGGUCUCUGGGCAUUAACUGACGCUGAGGAGCGAAAGCAUGGGGAGCGAACAGGAUUAGAUACCCUGGUAGUCCAUGCCGUAAACGUUGGGCACUAGGUGUGGGGGACAUUCCACGUUUUCCGCGCCGUAGCUAACGCAUUAAGUGCCCCGCCUGGGGAGUACGGCCGCAAGGCUAAAACUCAAAGGAAUUGACGGGGGCCCGCACAAGCGGCGGAGCAUGCGGAUUAAUUCGAUGCAACGCGAAGAACCUUACCAAGGCUUGACAUGAACCGGACCGCUGCAGAAAUGUGGUUUCCCCUUUGGGGCUGGUUUACAGGUGGUGCAUGGUUGUCGUCAGCUCGUGUCGUGAGAUGUUGGGUUAAGUCCCGCAACGAGCGCAACCCUCGUUCUAUGUUGCCAGCACGUGAUGGUGGGGACUCAUAGGAGACUGCCGGGGUCAACUCGGAGGAAGGUGGGGACGACGUCAAAUCAUCAUGCCCCUUAUGUCUUGGGCUUCACGCAUGCUACAAUGGCCGGUACAAAGGGUUGCGAUACUGUGAGGUGGAGCUAAUCCCAAAAAGCCGGUCUCAGUUCGGAUUGGGGUCUGCAACUCGACCCCAUGAAGUCGGAGUCGCUAGUAAUCGCAGAUCAGCAACGCUGCGGUGAAUACGUUCCCGGGCCUUGUACACACCGCCCGUCAAGUCACGAAAGUUGGUAACACCCGAAGCCCGGUGGCCUAACCCCUUGUGGGAGGGAGCUGUCGAAGGUGGGACUGGCGAUUGGGACUAAGUCGUAACAAG